UACGAAGGGUGCUAGCGCUGUUCGGAAUUACUGGGCGUAAAGCGCGCGUAGGCGGCCAUUCAAGUCAGAGGUGAAAGCCCGGAGCUUAACUCCGGAACUGCCUUUGAAACUGUAUGGCUUGAGUGUCGGAGGGGAUAGCGGAAUUGCUAAUGUAGAGGUGAAAUUCGUAGAUAUUAGCAGGAACACCGGUGGCGAAGGCGGCUAUCUGGACGACAACUGACGCUGAGGCGCGAAAGCGUGGGGAUCAAACAGG
Molecule: ribosomal RNA, 253 nt
Filed under: uncultured bacterium
Lineage: Bacteria
Description: partial 16S ribosomal RNA
Rfam family: Bacterial small subunit ribosomal RNA
Source: RNAcentral